Molecule: ribosomal RNA, 130 nt
Filed under: Curvularia sp.
Lineage: Eukaryota; Fungi; Ascomycota; Dothideomycetes; Pleosporales; Pleosporaceae
Description: partial large subunit ribosomal RNA
Rfam family: Eukaryotic large subunit ribosomal RNA
Source: RNAcentral
UUGACCUCGGAUCAGGUAGGGAUACCCGCUGAACUUAAGCAUAUCAAUAAGCGGAGGAAAAGAAACCAACAGGGAUUGCCCUAGUAACGGCGAGUGAAACGGCAACAGCUCAAAUUUGAAAUCUGGCUCU